Molecule: ribosomal RNA, 1051 nt
Filed under: Pseudarthrobacter polychromogenes
Lineage: Bacteria; Bacillati; Actinomycetota; Actinomycetes; Micrococcales; Micrococcaceae
Description: bacterial SSU rRNA
Rfam family: Bacterial small subunit ribosomal RNA
Source: RNAcentral
AUGGCUUACCAAGGCGACGACGGGUAGCCGGCCUGAGAGGGUGACCGGCCACACUGGGACUGAGACACGGCCCAGACUCCUACGGGAGGCAGCAGUGGGGAAUAUUGCACAAUGGGCGCAAGCCUGAUGCAGCGACGCCGCGUGAGGGAUGACGGCCUUCGGGUUGUAAACCUCUUUCAGUAGGGAAGAAGCGAAAGUGACGGUACCUGCAGAAGAAGCGCCGGCUAACUACGUGCCAGCAGCCGCGGUAAUACGUAGGGCGCAAGCGUUAUCCGGAAUUAUUGGCGCGUAAAGAGCUCGUAGGCGGUUUGUCGCGUCUGCCGUGAAAGUCCGGGGCUCAACUCCGGAUCUGCGGUGGGUACGGGCAGACUAGAGUGAUGUAGGGGAGACUGGAAUUCCUGGUGUAGCGGUGAAAUGCGCAGAUAUCAGGAGGAACACCGAUGGCGAAGGCAGGUCUCCUGGGCAUUAACUGACGCUGAGGAGCGAAAGCAUGGGGAGCGAACAGGAUUAGAUACCCUGGUAGUCCAUGCCGUAAACGUUGGGCACUAGGUGUGGGGGACAUUCCACGUUUUCCGCGCCGUAGCUAACGCAUUAAGUGCCCCGCCUGGGGAGUACGGCCGCAAGGCUAAAACUCAAAGGAAUUGACGGGGGCCCGCACAAGCGGCGGAGCAUGCGGAUUAAUUCGAUGCAACGCGAAGAACCUUACCAAGGCUUGACAUGAACCGGUAAUACCUGGAGACAGGUGCCCCGCUUGCGGUCGGUUUACAGGGGGGUGCAUGGUUGUCGUCAGCUCGUGUCGUGAGAUGUUGGGUUAAGUCCCGCAACGAGCGCAACCCUCGUUCUAUGUUGCCAGCACGUGAUGGUGGGGACUCAUAGGAGACUGCCGGGGUCAACUCGGAGGAAGGUGGGGACGACGUCAAAUCAUCAUGCCCCUUAUGUCUUGGGCUUCACGCAUGCUACAAUGGCCGGUACAAAGGGUUGCGAUACUGUGAGGUGGAGCUAAUCCCAAAAAGCCGGUCUCAGUUCGGAUUGGGGUCUGCAACUCGACCCC